Molecule: long non-coding RNA, 720 nt
Organism: Mizuhopecten yessoensis (Yesso scallop)
Lineage: Eukaryota; Metazoa; Mollusca; Bivalvia; Pectinida; Pectinidae
Exons: 3
Source: RefSeq, a predicted model, not a curated record
AAUUGUAUUUCACAUAGAAAUAGAAGACGGUCCACACUCUGUUAUCUUUACGUAGCUAAUGGUUAGUACUUUCUCCUGCAUUGUUUAUUGUGUCUAACAUGAUAGGCGUGGAGGAUUCUAGGAAGCUCCAUUGGUGAACAAUAACGGAGGCAAGAAGAAGAUAUGUUUGACCUAUAGCGCCAGCCUACCGACUGAGACAGUUGAUACAGUGGCACGGUACUUUGAGGAGAUGAACACCGUCGGUGAUCCUCAAAGAAUGAUACCAGGCACGGGAAGUACAUCACAGUCGUAUAUAGCCGGACCAUUACUAUUAAGGACGACUAACAGACUGCCCGGUCUUGGAGGAUGCGUGAUGAACAGGCCACAGACCCGGAGGUAUGCGUGUGUGAUGCCAGAGGCAAUUCUCGCGAUCAGCGGUAGAGACGCCGACACACUGAAGAGCUUUCCUAUCUACCUCAGUCUACGUGAGAAGGGGCAGUUUGCCGCUAUUUCCCGCGUUCUGCCCGGUGAAAUCCAUAAUACACCUUUAAACGAGAAGUUGCCACUGCCAAGUAUAUAUAUUAGGAAGUAGCGAUGACGUGUUUUCGUCUCCUUAGGUGAUGAGGCUGAGUGAAUGCUCAAGGUUCUUAUGGAUUAGCGUGCUGACCCAGCACUGUAUUCCACCCCGUCACAGCAGGCUUGUCCUCCCUACUGAGGACACGAUUUCAAUAAAACUCGUAC